RNAcentral lists this ribosomal RNA (710 nucleotides) under uncultured bacterium. RNAcentral's name for it is "bacterial SSU rRNA". It matches the Rfam family "Bacterial small subunit ribosomal RNA", at positions 60 to 771 of the family's 1533-position model. The record is from RNAcentral.
AGUCGAGGGGUAUAAGUCUUCGGAUUUAGAGACCGGCGCACGGGUGCGUAACGCGUAUGCAAUCUACCUUUUACAGAGGGAUAGCCCAGAGAAAUUUGGAUUAAUACCUCAUAGUAUUAUAGAAUGGCAUCAUUUUAUAAUUAAAGUCACAACGGUAAAAGAUGAGCAUGCGUCCCAUUAGCUAGUUGGUAAGGUAACGGCUUACCAAGGCUACGAUGGGUAGGGGUCCUGAGAGGGAGAUCCCCCACACUGGUACUGAGACACGGACCAGACUCCUACGGGAGGCAGCAGUGAGGAAUAUUGGACAAUGGGCGCAAGCCUGAUCCAGCCAUGCCGCGUGCAGGAUGACGGUCCUAUGGAUUGUAAACUGCUUUUAUACGAGAAGAAACACUCCGACGUGUCGGAGCUUGACGGUAUCGUAAGAAUAAGGAUCGGCUAACUCCGUGCCAGCAGCCGCGGUAAUACGGAGGAUCCAAGCGUUAUCCGGAAUCAUUGGGUUUAAAGGGUCCGUAGGCGGUUUAAUAAGUCAGUGGUGAAAGCCCAUCGCUCAACGGUGGAACGGCCAUUGAUACUGUUAGACUUGAAUUAUUAGGAAGUAACUAGAAUAUGUAGUGUAGCGGUGAAAUGCUUAGAGAUUACAUGGAAUACCAAUUGCGAAGGCAGGUUACUACUAAUUGAUUGACGCUGAUGGACAAAAGCGUGGGUAGCGA